UACGUAGGCAGCGAGCGUUGUUCGGAAUUACUGGGCGUAAAGAGUGUGUAGGCGGUGCUCUAAGUUUGGUGUGAAAUCUCCCGGCUCAACUGGGAGGGUGCAUCGAAUACUGGAAUGCUAGAGGGUGGGAGAGGUAAGCGGAAUUCCUGGUGUAGCGGUGAAAUGCGUAGAUAUCAGGAGGAACACCUGUGGUGUAGACAGCUUACUGGACCACUUCUGACGCUGAGACACGAAAGCGUGGGUAGCAAACAGG
Molecule: ribosomal RNA, 253 nt
Filed under: uncultured bacterium
Lineage: Bacteria
Description: partial 16S ribosomal RNA
Rfam family: Bacterial small subunit ribosomal RNA
Source: RNAcentral